This 781-nucleotide ribosomal RNA is filed under the name uncultured Bifissio sp. Its description in RNAcentral is "bacterial SSU rRNA". It matches the Rfam family "Bacterial small subunit ribosomal RNA", at positions 561 to 1340 of the family's 1533-position model. Lineage: Bacteria; Pseudomonadati; Bacteroidota. The record is from RNAcentral.
UAAAGAGUUCGUAGGCGGUUCGUUAAGUCUGAUGUUAAAUACUGGGGCUCAACCCUGGAACUGCAUUGGAUACUGGCGGACUGGAGUGCAGUAGAGGCGAGUGGAAUUCCCAGUGUAGCGGUGAAAUGCGUAGAUAUUGGGAAGAACACCGGUGGCGUAAGCGACUCGCUGGGCUGUAACUGACGCUGAGGAACGAAAGCUAGGGGAGCAAAUGGGAUUAGAUACCCUGGUAGUCCACGCUGUAAACGAUGGAUGCUAGCCGUUGGUGGGUUUACCCUUCAGUGGCGCAGCUAACGCAUUAAGCAUCCCGCCUGGGGAGUACGGUCGCAAGAUUAAAACUCAAAGGAAUUGACGGGGACCCGCACAAGCGGUGGAUGAUGUGGAUUAAUUCGAUGCAACGCGAAAAACCUUACCUACCCUUGACAUGCCCGGAAACCUGGUGAGAGCUGGGGGUGCCCGAAAGGGAACCGGGACACAGGUGCUGCAUGGCUGUCGUCAGCUCGUGUCGUGAGAUGUUGGGUUAAGUCCCGCAACGAGCGCAACCCCCAUCACUAGUUGCCAUCAGGUAACGCUGGGAACUCUAAAGAAACUGCCGUCGUAAGACGCGAGGAAGGAGGGGAUGAUGUCAAGUCAUCAUGGCCUUUAUGCCCAGGGCUACACACGUGCUACAAUGGGGCGUACAAAGGGCUGCCACUUAGCGAUAAGGAGCCAAUCCCAAAAAACGCCUCUCAGUUCAGAUCGCAGUCUGCAACUCGACUGCGUGAAGCUGGAAUCGCUAGUA